GUUUUAAUAAUUUAAUAAAAAUAUUGGUUUUGUAAGCCAAACUUAGUCUUACUUUAAAACA
RNAcentral lists this transfer RNA (61 nucleotides) under Cuerna sp. EMHAU-2015-Zz052311. Its description in RNAcentral is "tRNA-Thr". Lineage: Eukaryota; Metazoa; Arthropoda; Insecta; Hemiptera; Cicadellidae. The record is from RNAcentral.